Molecule: ribosomal RNA, 579 nt
Filed under: Salmonella enterica
Lineage: Bacteria; Pseudomonadati; Pseudomonadota; Gammaproteobacteria; Enterobacterales; Enterobacteriaceae
Description: partial 23S ribosomal RNA
Rfam family: Bacterial large subunit ribosomal RNA
Source: RNAcentral
AACGUGGAUCCGUGAUCCGGGUUGCGGACAGUGUCUGGUGGGUAGUUUGACUGGGGCGGUCUCCUCCUAAAGAGUAACGGAGGAGCACGAAGGUUGGCUAAUCCUGGUCGGACAUCAGGAGGUUAGUGCAAUGGCAUAAGCCAGCUUGACUGCGAGCGUGACGGCGCGAGCAGGUGCGAAAGCAGGUCAUAGUGAUCCGGUGGUUCUGAAUGGAAGGGCCAUCGCUCAACGGAUAAAAGGUACUCCGGGGAUAACAGGCUGAUACCGCCCAAGAGUUCAUAUCGACGGCGGUGUUUGGCACCUCGAUGUCGGCUCAUCACAUCCUGGGGCUGAAGUAGGUCCCAAGGGUAUGGCUGUUCGCCAUUUAAAGUGGUACGCGAGCUGGGUUUAGAACGUCGUGAGACAGUUCGGUCCCUAUCUGCCGUGGGCGCUGGAGAACUGAGGGGGGCUGCUCCUAGUACGAGAGGACCGGAGUGGACGCAUCACUGGUGUUCGGGUUGUCAUGCCAAUGGCACUGCCCGGUAGCUAAAUGCGGAAGAGAUAAGUGCUGAAAGCAUCUAAGCACGAAACUUGCCCCGA